GAUGAACGCUGGCGGCGUGCCUAAUACAUGCAAGUCGAGCGAACAGAUGAGGAGCUUGCUCCUCUUACGUUAUCGUCGGACGGGUGAGUAACACGUGGAUAACCUCCCUAUAAGACUGGGAUAACUUCGUGAAACCGGAGCUAAUACCGGAUAAUAUAUUUAACCGCAUGGUUCAAUAGUGAAAGACGGUUUUGCUUUCACUUAUAGAUGGAUCCGCGCCGCAUUAGCUAGUUGGUAAGGUAACGGCUUACAAAGGCAACGAUGCGUAGCCGACCUGAUAGAGGGAUGGGCAAAAUGGGAACGGAGAAAGGGCCAAGACACCAAGGGGAGGAAGAGGGAGGAAAUCUUCGGAAAGGAGGGAAAGCUGGAGGGGGAAAGGCCGGGGGAGGGAGAAAGGUGUCGGGAUCGAAAGACUUGGUUAUUAGGGAAGAAGAAAUGUGUAAGUAAAUAUGCAAGGAUUGACGGUACCGAAUCAGAAAGCCACGGCUAACUACGUG
Molecule: ribosomal RNA, 497 nt
Filed under: uncultured bacterium
Lineage: Bacteria
Description: partial 16S ribosomal RNA
Rfam family: Bacterial small subunit ribosomal RNA
Source: RNAcentral